This 76-nucleotide transfer RNA is filed under the name Allochromatium vinosum. Its description in RNAcentral is "tRNA-Thr". It matches the Rfam family "tRNA". Rfam says of the family: Transfer RNA (tRNA) molecules are approximately 80 nucleotides in length. The record is from RNAcentral. RNAcentral also lists the same sequence under 3 other names. Lineage: Bacteria; Pseudomonadati; Pseudomonadota; Gammaproteobacteria; Chromatiales; Chromatiaceae.
GCCGAUGUAGCUCAGUUGGUAGAGCAACGCAUUCGUAAUGCGUGGGUCAGCGGUUCAAAUCCGCUCAUCGGCUCCA